UACGUAGGGGGCAAGCGUUGUCCGGAAUCAUUGGGCGUAAAGAGCGUGUAGGCGGCCAGGUAGGUCUGGUGUGAAAACUCGAGGCUUAACCUCGAGAUGUCAUCGGAAACCAUCUGGCUAGAGCCCGGAAGAGGAGAGUGGAAUUCCUGGUGUAGCGGUGAAAUGCGCAGAUAUCAGGAAGAACACCAAUGGCGAAAGCAGCUCUCUGGGACGGUACUGACGCUGAGACGCGAAAGCGUGGGGAGCGAACAGG
Molecule: ribosomal RNA, 253 nt
Filed under: uncultured bacterium
Lineage: Bacteria
Description: partial 16S ribosomal RNA
Rfam family: Bacterial small subunit ribosomal RNA
Source: RNAcentral